RNAcentral lists this long non-coding RNA (1374 nucleotides) under Theobroma cacao (cacao). Its description in RNAcentral is "long non-coding RNA (TCAC_LNC000315)". Lineage: Eukaryota; Viridiplantae; Streptophyta; Magnoliopsida; Malvales; Malvaceae. The record is from RNAcentral.
AAUAGGCUAGUCCACAGAAAUCCGCCCACUGCAGUAAGCUAAUCAAAUAACCCACCAAAUCAAUAAAAAUUUCAAUAGCAUGACAUGGCUAAUAUAAUAUUUCCCAACAUGUCAAGGUAAAACAAGAUAGUUUAUAUAAUCCACAAACCACAAAUCCAACCAUUCAUGCCAUCACAUUGUCAUAAGCCAUCAAUUCAAACCAUAUAUAUAUAUAGAUAACACAAGUAUAUAGUCUCCACCUACUCAAUUUCCAAAAUCGUCAUUGAAUUGCAAAACAAUUUAUAAAUCUCAUUCAUUUAACCAACACUUAACUUAUAAAACAUAAAAAUCUACGGUUUAAAUUCAUUAUUCUUUAAAAUCAUAAAAACGAGUGUAAACUACUUUAGAUAGUUAAGGUGAACAUUUGAUUACUCACAAUAACGAGAGUUUGGAGUACUCCUAUUCUUGGUCCUCGGGUACGAUAUCUUUACCCUUAUUAGAGGGCUCACCACCUAUACAUAAUAACGACACGUAAUUCAAUAUAUUUGUGCCAAACUGUUAUAAAACUAUUUCAAACUCUAUAUGAAUGCAUGAAAUUGAAUGAGAAUUGUUCGAAUAAUCACUUAAAAACGGUGUUCUACGUGGGUUCAAUUAUGAUCAGACUGAAUUUGUAUUCGACCUAACUUGAACUAUACACUGUUGAAUUAACCAAAACAUCCGAUUCAACUUAAAAUAUAUUCAUUCCACUUUCAAUAUUCCAAAUACACCAAAGUACCUCAAUGAGCUUGAUUGUGACUUAAUUCAUCGUAACCGAAAUUCAUUCCGAUUCCGAACUAACAUGUUAAUCAGUGUUAACACAGUCCAAUAAAUCCAUCUAUAUCAUUAAGAAUCAAAUCCAAGUCCAUUUACUAUGAUUUUCUCAUUAUUGUUCAAGUCGUUUACUAAAGGAACUAUACUUUUCGAUAACAGUUUUCGAUAUCCGAUACUAUAAAUCAUCAAUUACGAGCUAAAUAAAAUGAAAUACAACAAAAUCCAUCAUUCAACAUGUCACGUAUAACAUUCGGCCAAAGAGGGUUGUUGAAGGGCAUGCGAUUUUCUUGCUUGUUUUUCAUGCCAAACAUCAUCAAACAACUAAAAAUACUAAGAUAUCAUGAAAUCUAGCAAAAUCCAUCAUCAAAACCUCUCUCCCUAUGUUUGGCUAGCAAGUAUUCCCUCAUGGAAACUUGCGUUUCAACCAUAGAAAAUGAAAAACAAAGCAUGGGAAAGGUAGAUUUUAAGCUAAAUUUGAAAAAUCUUACCUUUGAUUGCUUUGUUCUUUGAAAUUCAACAAAUUUCUCUUGAAUUUUCCUCUCUAGGGUUUGUUUCUAUUCUUUUCUCUUUGUUCUUUGCUUUGGU